Molecule: non-coding RNA, 109 nt
Organism: Acanthosepion pharaonis
Lineage: Eukaryota; Metazoa; Mollusca; Cephalopoda; Sepiida; Sepiidae
Source: the annotation of a GenBank genome assembly
GGCCACAAUACAUUGGAAUACUGGUUCACAUAUGAUCACUGAAGUUAAGCAUUGUGGAGCCUGAUCAUUAUCUAGAUGGGUUACCGUUUGGGAAUACCAGGUGUUGUAA